This 253-nucleotide ribosomal RNA is filed under the name uncultured bacterium. RNAcentral's name for it is "partial 16S ribosomal RNA". It matches the Rfam family "Bacterial small subunit ribosomal RNA", at positions 524 to 776 of the family's 1533-position model. The record is from RNAcentral.
UACGUAGGGUGCAAGCGUUGUCCGGAAUUAUUGGGCGUAAAGAGCUCGUAGGCGGUUUGUCGCGUCUGCUGUGAAAACUCGGGGCUUAACUCCGGGCCUGCAGUGGGUACGGGCAGACUAGAGUGGUGUAGGGGAGACUGGAAUUCCUGGUGUAGCGGUGGAAUGCGCAGAUAUCAGGAGGAACACCGAUGGCGAAGGCAGGUCUCUGGGCACUUACUGACGCUGAGGAGCGAAAGCGUGGGGAGCGAACAGG